GAGGCGGCCGUCGCCGGGCACGAUGACUCCACCCGCCAGGUGCUGGACGCGCCGUCCCUGCAGGACGACUUCUACCUGAACCUCGUCGACUGGUCCUCGCAGAACAUGCUCGCCAUCGGCCUCGGCACCUGCGUCUACCUCUGGUCCGCAUCCAGCUGCAAGGUUACCAAGCUAUGCGAUCUGGGGCCGAGGGACAGCGUCUGCGCCGUGCACUGGACGCGCGAGGGCUCCUACCUCGCCGUCGACACCAACCUUUUAAAUACUAUACAUUUCAUGUCUGUGACAAGAGGGGAGGACUGCUUUGCAAUCUCAACGUACCCUGUUCAUCAGAGACAACAUCUCUGUGGGCGCCUCCGCGCGCUCUUUGGGCAGCUCGGAGCCAUGCUGUCAGAGCUCUUCACCAACUGGACCAUCUACACCAACAAGGCGGCGGUGCUGGUGAUGCUGCUGUUCGUGAUCGCGGUCAACCUAGCGAUCGGCAUCCUGCCGCACAUGAUGCGCCCGACGCCAUGGAGUACCUCACGGCGUGCUCGCCUCCCCCAGCAUCCCGAUCUCAACGAGCCUAGCGGCCGCCGUCCUUGUCCUGCUCGAGGAGCAGGAGGAGGAGGGGCGCAUCUAGCCAGCCACAAAGGGCCUGCUCU
Molecule: ribosomal RNA, 641 nt
Filed under: Triticum aestivum (bread wheat)
Lineage: Eukaryota; Viridiplantae; Streptophyta; Magnoliopsida; Poales; Poaceae
Description: partial small subunit ribosomal RNA
Source: RNAcentral